CCACGCCCACAGACCACCGACUCCAAACUGCACUCGUGUUUCUGGCACAGGAUCUGAACACACCCUUAUAUCUCUGGCGCUUCCUUUCAUCAAUAAACACAGAUCAAGUCAAAUAAACAAUAAACACCUGAAGACGUCUCGGAGAAUCACGACUCUCUUCAGGAUUCUCACUUCUGAAAGAUUCCAAUGUUAAGGCCAACAUGACACUCAAACUCAAAAUGAAUCCUGCCACACUCACUCCACACCUCUCAUUUAAACCUUCUCCAUCCAAUCAGUUUCUGUUAAAUGAAACAAGUCCCGCCUCCACUCCUGUUUGACUCAGACAGACAUCAGAUCACACAUAUCAAAUCAGAUUGUGUGUCACUCACGGUGAAUGUGUGCAGGAGUGUGUGUGUGUGUGGGUGCAGCACGCGCACAGUUGUGGUAUUUCACACACAGACGUGAGAGAGAGAGAGAGAUAAACAACUUUAAGAUGGACUACAUACAUCACACUUUAUUAUAAUUUAAAUGAUUAUCUUUCUUUUCGUUUGUAUACUGUGCUUGCAAUAUUUGUACG
This is a long non-coding RNA of Triplophysa dalaica, 556 nucleotides long. RefSeq lists it as uncharacterized. Lineage: Eukaryota; Metazoa; Chordata; Actinopteri; Cypriniformes; Nemacheilidae. The record is from RefSeq and is a predicted model, not a curated record. The transcript has 3 exons.